RNAcentral lists this long non-coding RNA (251 nucleotides) under Elaeis guineensis (African oil palm). Its description in RNAcentral is "long non-coding RNA (EGUI_LNC049114)". The record is from RNAcentral. Lineage: Eukaryota; Viridiplantae; Streptophyta; Magnoliopsida; Arecales; Arecaceae.
AUUGAUAAAUCUAUACGAUGACUGGAUCAAGAAUAUUUCACCUGUCCCACAUCCAAUGAGUACUCCUACGCAAGCAGGCCUACAAUGCCGAAUUGCCUCUACCAAGCUAAUAUCCAUGAGAAAGUGUAGAUCGGAAAAAAUAAACCUAUUCCUAUUCAUAGCCACAAGGCCCACAUCAGCAAACUUUUAUUCUCAAUCAUUGCUAGCUUCAUAAUGGAUUGGAAAUCAAAGAUUUUCUUUGGACUCUCAUC